GAUGAACGCUGGCGGCGUGCCUAAUACAUGCAAGUCGAGCGAACAGACGAGGAGCUUGCUCCUUUGACGUUAGCGGCGGACGGGUGAGUAACACGUAGGUAACCUACCUAUAAGACUGGGAUAACUUCGGGAAACCGGAGCUAAUACCGGAUAAUAUUUCGAACCGCAUGGUUCGAUAGUGAAAGAUGGCUUUGCUAUCACUUAUAGAUGGACCUGCGCCGUAUUAGCUAGUUGGUAAGGUAACGGCUUACCAGGGCAACGAUACGUAGCCGACCUGAGAGGGUGAUCGGCCACACUGGAACUGAGACACGGUCCAGACUCCUACGGGAGGCAGCAGUAGGGAAUCUUCCGCAAUGGGCGAAAGCCUGACGGAGCAACGCCGCGUGAGUGAUGAAGGUCUUCGGAUCGUAAAACUCUGUUAUUAGGGAAGAACAAACGUGUAAGUAACUGUGCACGUCUUGACGGUACCUAAUCAGAAAGCCACGGCUAACUACGUG
Molecule: ribosomal RNA, 497 nt
Filed under: uncultured bacterium
Lineage: Bacteria
Description: partial 16S ribosomal RNA
Rfam family: Bacterial small subunit ribosomal RNA
Source: RNAcentral